GACGAACGCUGGCGGCGCGCCUAACACAUGCAAGUCGAACGGAGCUGAGAGAAGCUUGCUUUUCUUAGCUUAGUGGCGAACGGGUGAGUAACGCGUGAGUAACCUGCCCUGGAGUGGGGGACAACAGUUGGAAACGACUGCUAAUACCGCAUAAGCCCACGAUCCGGCAUCGGAUUGAGGGAAAAGGAUUUAUUCGCUUCAGGAUGGACUCGCGUCCAAUUAGCUAGUUGGUGAGGUAACGGCCCACCAAGGCGACGAUUGGUAGCCGGACUGAGAGGUUGAACGGCCACAUUGGGACUGAGACACGGCCCAGACUCCUACGGGAGGCAGCAAUGGGGGAUAUUGCACAAUGGGGGAAACCCUGAUGCAGCGACGCCGCGUGGAGGAAGAAGGUUUUCGGAUUGUAAACUCCUGUCGUUAGGGACGAUAAUGACGGUACCUAACAAGAAAGCACCGGCUAACUACGUG
This 468-nucleotide ribosomal RNA is filed under the name uncultured bacterium. Its description in RNAcentral is "partial 16S ribosomal RNA". It matches the Rfam family "Bacterial small subunit ribosomal RNA", at positions 28 to 507 of the family's 1533-position model. The record is from RNAcentral.